AACGAACGCUGGCGGCAGGCCUAACACAUGCAAGUCGAACGCUGUAGCAAUACAGAGUGGCAGACGGGUGAGUAACACGUGGGAAUCUUCCUAUCGGUACGGAAUAGCUCAGGGAAACUUGAGGUAAUACCGCAUACGCCCUUCGGGGGAAAGAUUUAUCGCCGAUAGAUGAGCCCGCGUCUGAUUAGCUAGUUGGUGAGGUAAUGGCUCACCAAGGCGACGAUCAGUAGCUGGUCUGAGAGGAUGACCAGCCACACUGGGACUGAGACACGGCCAAGCCUCCUGCGGGAGGCAGCAGGGGGGAAUAUUGGAAAAUGGGCGCAAGCUUGAUCCAGCCGUGCCGCGUGAGUGACGAAGGUCUUCGGAUUGUAAAGCUCUUUUGCCAGGACAGAAAAUGACGGUACCUGAAGAAUAACCCCCGGCUAAUUUCGUGCCAGCCCCCCCCGUAA
Molecule: ribosomal RNA, 449 nt
Filed under: uncultured bacterium
Lineage: Bacteria
Description: partial 16S ribosomal RNA
Rfam family: Bacterial small subunit ribosomal RNA
Source: RNAcentral